CAGCAACAGAUAAGUUAUUGGUUUCACUUCUUAGGAAACAGGAAGGAGUUAUAACGGCUCACACAGACAGACAACAAUUCCCUAUCAGCAGCACACUAACAAAGGAUGAUGAGGAGGUCAGGAAGAGUCAUGAUUUGUUUUGCAGCUCUGAUCCUUGCACUGGCAUCGGUGUCAGCUGUAGAAAGACUCAAUUCAAUUAAUGAUUAAUUAAUGCCACCCCCACAAGUCCCCUUAAGGUCAAAUGCAUCAAAUAACAGAAAAACUCAGAUAUUAGUCCACUUAAUAUGCCAGAUUAUUUCCUACAAACUCCAUAAAUAUCUGGGGAAUGUGCAAAAAUAGCAAGAAAAUCCCUAUUUUGCGUCGCACAAGAAAGUGGUUUAAAAAAUCCUGGAACUGGCUCUUAAGAACAAAAAGUCUCAUCCAUCAACUAGUUUAGCAGUUUUGUGUAAUACAGUUAACAAAAACUUACGGGCGAAAACCUAAUCUCUUCACUUAGGGUAAAUAAGGCUUUACAACAAACAAGUGCAGCCAUGAGAAACUAAUCUACGAUAAUCAUACUAGGUAAUAAUAAGCCAGGCUUCAUUAGAAACCCUUUAGUCCAAAAGACACUGUGUCAGAUACCUGGACAUGCCAGUUAUCUUCAACACAAAAUGUGUAAUGAUUUAUGGAAUAAUUACACUUUACAGAAUCAUUCCACUGAUAAUUAAAAGCACAAAUAAUCAGCUUUUGCAUGUUGUGUUCAACAACCCCGAAAAACACUGACAGACUAAAAAUAAUAUUUUCAAAGGACGCCUGAUCCAAGCUGCAGUCCCUUCUGCAACCACCAGCAACAGAUUAGUUAGGUUUCAUUUCUAAGGAAACAGGAAAGGGAGUUCGAACAGCUCACACACAGACAGACACAGACAGACACGAUUCCCUAACAGCAACACACUAACAAAGUGUCCUUAUGCUAAUGAGAAAGGCCGGCUUAAUCUCAGUCUCGAGCAGGAUUGGGUGAUGAGGAUGUCAGGAAGAUUCAUGAGUUGCUGUGCAGCUCUGUUCCUUGCACUGGCAUCUGUGUCAGCUGUAGAAAGACUCAAUUCAAUUAAUGAUUUGAAGAAAAUCUACUUUGGUCAAUCUUUGCCCAAACACACUCUUCUACUUCUCCACUGGUUUGCCAACGUAGUUGAAAUCAACAGCAACAACAUCAUACUGUUGACCUUUGAUCCAAACAAUGAAGAUUUUGGAUCGCAUCAUUAUGGCAACUAUGAGGGGAUACUGCCUCAGAGUCACAGGUACUACACUGUUGGCAAUCUCCUUCUAGACAGACGUAACCAACUUCCAAAUUAUGUCGCCCAGCCAAAGGAAGCGUAUGUGGGAGGAAACCGGGACCGGAUCGUGUUUAGUGUCAGACAGCAGAACAUAGGAUGGCAAACUUUGCAACAGAUAGAUCGAGUGUACAUCACACAGCAUUAUGGGCACCAUGGAAGUACGACAUAUGAUCCUGAACAUACCUAUGAGAUCACGAAUAACCUCCUGAGAACAAUCCGAGAGUUUUCUGGGGGAGCAAUCCAGUCACUGAGGACUCUCAGAAAUCGCUAUGGAAGUAACACUAGUGACUUCCAGUUAACAGAAAUCAGAAACAUAUGGGGGAACCUUGCUUGUCUUGGACUGCUGUUGUUUUUUGUGAUCGGGGAAAGGCACUACUUUUACCAACAACAAAGUGCCCACCUUCAGAGUGGGUCAACAGGAGGAAACAAUUUUCUUCUCAUUUUCCUGUUGUUUUUUGUCUUUGCCAUUCUUGGUUCACUCUGGCUUUUCCGUGGUAUGGGAAGAUAAAAAAAGAAAAUUAAACAUACAAUACGCAAUAUUACUUUUAAGAUGAUUGAGAAUCAAGCAGUUAGGACUGAUCAGUGGACCUGGAUAAGGGCUAAUUCUAAAAGCUGGUGUAUGCUUUGUUUUGCUUUCAUGUUUAUCUAAAUGGGUGCUACAUUAUUUUCUUAACACUGUUCUGGUAAAUAUUGAGAUAGAGGUUUUGUGUCUCCAGUGUGUCACUUCAGGUCAGCACUCAUUUAGGCUAAAGUACCAACAUAAAAUCUAUCUGAUCAGUACAUGAUCUUCACAAAGUGUCGACAUCAGUUAAAGACAGUGGUCUAAUGUUAAUUCAGAUUAAGACCUGCAUAUAGAAAUUUAAUUUGUAAGAAUCUUACAUUCCUGGGGAAAUUACAUAACAAAAGAUUAAGGACAUGUUUUACAUUUCUUAGACCAAGAAGUGUGGUCCAAGGAGUUUCUUACAAAACAAAACCCACAUUUAAUUACAGCACAAACUCUUCUUUAAAAUAACUAUUUUUGUACACAUUAAAGCAUUAUACUGGUCUUAACGCUUCAGGCUUAAUUCAUAUUCAAUGUCAUGCUCCAGCACGUCUUAUCCAAUAGUGGUGACUCACUGUUCUUUCAUGUGUUUCCUAGAGAUGAAGAGAAAGUAAAUAGCUCUGAUGCAUAGAUGAAAACGACAAGUGAAAGGAUCUAUGGCGUGCUAAGCAUAGCUCACAUUGAUAAUGUAUUAGCAUAACAAAAAACAAAAAAGAGAUGUAUAUUUUACACAUGGUUUUGUAUUCUUGCUACAAUAUUGUAAAUGGGGUGUUGAUUGAAUACUUGCUGCUGUUUGUUUGGUGUGUAAAUAAAAGGUUUUGAAGACAA
Platichthys flesus (European flounder) is the source of this 2679-nucleotide long non-coding RNA. RefSeq lists it as uncharacterized. The transcript is spliced from 4 exons. Lineage: Eukaryota; Metazoa; Chordata; Actinopteri; Pleuronectiformes; Pleuronectidae. The record is from RefSeq and is a predicted model, not a curated record.